This 454-nucleotide ribosomal RNA is filed under the name uncultured Streptococcus sp. RNAcentral's name for it is "bacterial SSU rRNA". It matches the Rfam family "Bacterial small subunit ribosomal RNA", at positions 924 to 1374 of the family's 1533-position model. The record is from RNAcentral. Lineage: Bacteria; Bacillati; Bacillota; Bacilli; Lactobacillales; Streptococcaceae.
GCACAAGCGGUGGAGUAUGUUGUUUAAUUCGAAGAUACACGAAGAACCUUACCAGGUCUUGACAUACCAUUGACAGGCGCAGAGAUGUGCUCUACUUCGGUACAUCGGUGACAGGUGGUGCAUGGUUGUCGUCAGCUCGUGUCGUGAGAUGUUGGGUUAAGUCCCGCAACGAGCGCAACCCCUAUUGUUAGUUGCCAUCAUUCAGUUGGGCACUCUAGCGAGACUGCCGGUAAUAAACCGGAGGAAGUGGGAUGACGUCAAAUCAUCAUGCCCCUUAUGACCUGGGCUACGCACGUGCUACAAUGGUUGGUACAACGAGUUGCGAGUCGGUGACGGCGAGCUAAUCUCUUAAAGCCAAUCUCAGUUCGGAUUGUAGGCUGCAACUCGCCUACAUGAAGUCGGAAUCGCUAGUAAUCGCGGAUCAGCACGCCGCGGUCGAAUACGUUCCGGCCUU